This 952-nucleotide ribosomal RNA is filed under the name bacterium enrichment culture clone AOM-SR-B71. RNAcentral's name for it is "bacterial SSU rRNA". It matches the Rfam family "Bacterial small subunit ribosomal RNA", at positions 8 to 957 of the family's 1533-position model. The record is from RNAcentral.
AGAGUUUGAUCCUGGCUCAGAUUGAACGCUGGCGGUAUGCUUAACACAUGCAAGUCGAACGGUAACAGGCCUUCGGGCGCUGACGAGUGGCGGACGGGUGAGUAACGCGUAGGAAUCUGCCUCAUAGUGGGGGACAACUUGGGGAAACUCAAGCUAAUACCGCAUACGCCCUACGGGGGAAAGCGGGGGACCUUCGGGCCUCGCGCUAUGAGAUGAGCCUGCGUUAGAUUAGCUAGUUGGUGGGGUAAAGGCCUACCAAGGCGACGAUCUAUAGCUGGUCUGAGAGGACGAUCAGCCACACUGGGACUGAGACACGGCCCAGACCCCUACGGGAGGCAGCAGUGGGGAAUAUUGGACAAUGGGCGCAAGCCUGAUCCAGCAAUACCGCGUGUGUGAAGAAGGCCUGAGGGUUGUAAAGCACUUUCAAUUGGGAGGAAAACCUGCCGGUCAAUACCCGGCAGCUUGACAUUACCUUUAGAAGAAGCACCGGCUAACUCCGUGCCAGCAGCCGCGGUAAUACGGAGGGUGCGAGCGUUAAUCGGAAUUACUGGGCGUAAAGCGUGCGUAGGCGGUUAUUUAAGUCAGAUGUGAAAGCCCCGGGCUUAACCUGGGAACUGCAUUUGAUACUGGGUAACUAGAGUUUAGUAGAGGAGAGUGGAAUUUCAGGUGUAGCGGUGAAAUGCGUAGAGAUCUGAAGGAACACCAGUGGCGAAGGCGACUCUCUGGACUAAAACUGACGCUGAGGUACGAAAGCGUGGGUAGCAAACAGGAUUAGAUACCCUGGUAGUCCACGCCGUAAACGAUGUCAACUAGCCGUUGGGCCUUUUAACAGGCUUAGUGGCGCAGCUAACGCAUUAAGUUGACCGCCUGGGGAGUACGGCCGCAAGGUUAAAACUCAAAUGAAUUGACGGGGGCCCGCACAAGCGGUGGAGCAUGUGGUUUAAUUCGAUGC